RNAcentral lists this long non-coding RNA (269 nucleotides) under Malus domestica (apple). Its description in RNAcentral is "long non-coding RNA (MDOM_LNC020908)". Lineage: Eukaryota; Viridiplantae; Streptophyta; Magnoliopsida; Rosales; Rosaceae. The record is from RNAcentral.
CUUAAUAACUUGUGGAAAAACUGAGGGUUAAUUAGUGCAAUUCACGGUUAACUUGGGGCGUUGAGUAUUCAUAAUUUAUUGGAAGAACAACUGAAAAUCGUUUUGUUGCAAGUGUGACAUGUGUGGAGAAGAACCUCCUAACUAGCCCUUUUAACCAUCUAUUUCACCAAAAUCGUUUUUACAAUCUGUGUUAAUUAAAGUUUCUGUUUUGUGUUAAAUUUUCGUCCAAAACAAAUCCCCCUUUAAUUUGAAGUCUUAGAUUAGUUAGA